RNAcentral lists this small RNA (553 nucleotides) under Pongo abelii (Sumatran orangutan). RNAcentral's name for it is "processed transcript". Lineage: Eukaryota; Metazoa; Chordata; Mammalia; Primates; Hominidae. The record is from RNAcentral.
UCCGCCUGCCCCUGGCGCUGUCCUGCACAGUUUGGGGGAUCGAGGGCGCGUGGGACCCGAGCCUGGAGUCUUCUCUUAAGCGAUAACGGCGACCUCAAGAAGCAGCUCCACGAAAGGCAGCCGCGGAUCGCCGCGCUCAGCGACAAACAAGCUUUGGGAACGAUCACUGCAGUGCCUGUCACGGGUCCUCAGGUCAGCUCCUUGCAGAGGUUGGCCGGGCAAGGAGCGGCAGUGCUACCUCAGGUUAGGCCAAAGACUCUGAUUCCAGACAGCCUCCCCAUUGCCCCGGGCCGGGACCGGCCACCCAAGCAGCCCCCAGCAUUCCAGAAGGCCACCGUGGUCAGCGUCAAGAACCCCAGCCCAGCCCUCCCCACCGCCAACAACACUGUCAGCCAUGUGCCAGCGCCCGGCAGCCAGCCCCAGGCCCUCGCCGAGCCAGCCGCCCUCGCCUCUCCGCUGAGCGGUGCGGGGGUGGCCUAUGCCAUCAUCUCCACCUCCUCUAGCAAUGCCGCCGCCAUGGCCCCCAGCACCGCUGUGUCUGUGGUCAGCGACA